AUCCAGCUGUAGGGUUCCAUACGGGACGAAACGCAUGUCCUGGAU
Schistosoma rodhaini is the source of this 45-nucleotide non-coding RNA. The record is from Rfam. Lineage: Eukaryota; Metazoa; Platyhelminthes; Trematoda; Strigeidida; Schistosomatidae.